Long non-coding RNA from Sinocyclocheilus grahami, 335 nucleotides. RefSeq lists it as uncharacterized. The record is from RefSeq and is a predicted model, not a curated record. The transcript is spliced from 3 exons. Lineage: Eukaryota; Metazoa; Chordata; Actinopteri; Cypriniformes; Cyprinidae.
UCAUGUCUCAAGAUCAGUCUGAAGUGAGUGACCCUAUGCACCUGAAGAGCUUUACUGCUCCUCACAGCACAAACAGUAACACUGUAUGGAGGACGGAGACUCAACAAGACAAUGUUGUAGGGAUUGCGUGCUUCUUGGAAAGGGGAAAUUCCCGACGAUCUUAUAGUCUAUGUGGAGCAUAUAAAGGCAAAGCACACUUCCUCUGUCACAAACACAUUCAACCGAACACUCUCACAAGAGAAACAACGAUUUAACCAACUCUAUAACUCCAGAGAGGGAACUGAACUAAACGACUGAACGAUGGAAUGCCAUGAACACUACAUUUUGCCUUCGGA